AACUUUUGGCAAUGGAUCUCUUGGUUCAGGCAUCGAUGAAGAACGCAGCGAAAUGCGAUAAGUAAUGUGAAUUGCAGAAUUCAGUGAAUCAUCGAAUCUUUGAACGCACAUUGCGCCCCUUGGUAUUCCGAGGGGCAUGCCUGUUCGAGCGUCAUAAUAACCAAUCCCGCGUGCGGGGUCUUGGGCACCGCUAGCUGGCGGGCUCUAAAACUAGUGGCGGCACGUGCCGGGCUCUGAGCGUAGUAAAUCUCCUCGCUAUAGGGUCCCGGGCGGCGUGAGCCAGAACCCCUAAUUUUAUCAGGUUGACCUCGGAUCAGGUAGGGAUACCCGCUGAACUUAAGCAUAUCAAUAAGCGGAGGCU
This 361-nucleotide unclassified non-coding RNA is filed under the name uncultured Helotiales. Its description in RNAcentral is "sequence contains ITS2". The stretch from base 1 to 154 matches the Rfam family "5.8S ribosomal RNA". Lineage: Eukaryota; Fungi; Ascomycota; Leotiomycetes; Helotiales. The record is from RNAcentral.